RNAcentral lists this long non-coding RNA (500 nucleotides) under Hordeum vulgare. Its description in RNAcentral is "long non-coding RNA (HVUL_LNC012216)". Lineage: Eukaryota; Viridiplantae; Streptophyta; Magnoliopsida; Poales; Poaceae. The record is from RNAcentral.
AUGCGCAGUGUAGACGCCACUCGUGGUCCACUUCCAGAUGAGGCGAUCCGGUACCUCAGUGCAAAGUUUUGGAUUUCGCCCGGAAAAAACGGAAAAUGACCGAAAUUCGUCAAUCUCGUCUGGGCCCGGAUUUAGUGCGAUCCGGUGAAAUAAUUUCGGCUUUUUUUGAAAUUGCCAGCCCAGCCCACCACCCAAAAUAGCCCACAUAUCCUACCUUGUUGUAUAAAUACGUGAACUCAGCCAACCCUAACCCUAAUUUUUCGUUUUCCUCCCUAGCUGCGUGUGUGUGGCGGCUGCAGGCAAUACGUGAAGCUCGAGGCCGGCCGGCGCGCCACUGCCGCGGCCAGCGUCGUCUUCGACAGUCGCCACUCGUCACCCCUCCCCCUUCUCCUUCCGAUGGACCUGUGCGACGGCGGCGACCUGGGCUUGGGCGACCGGUGCGAUCUCGACAGCGCCCGUGCGCGCGGUGAGCGGGGCGACAGGCGCGACCUCGACGGCGN